RNAcentral lists this long non-coding RNA (324 nucleotides) under Sorghum bicolor (sorghum). Its description in RNAcentral is "long non-coding RNA (SBIC_LNC001219)". The record is from RNAcentral. Lineage: Eukaryota; Viridiplantae; Streptophyta; Magnoliopsida; Poales; Poaceae.
GUGGAGUAAAUGAUAGUGAUGGUAAAAAUGUAUAAGUGAUGAUAAAACUUACUUCUCAUUGCUCCACAUAUUGCUAUCUCUCCUCCUCUCUUGAUCUUUGCCUUGGAGAACAUGGGCUAUCUUCUUUUUUUCAGGUGGGUAGUAGAUACCCCUAAUUCUACCGUCGGACACUUGUCCAUUUUUUCCGCUCAAGUGGGUAUCUUUGUACCCCUAAUUCUACUCCAGACACUUGUCCAUUUUUUUCCUCUCGUCUCACUCUUUUUCUUUCUUUUUCGAGGUUCCGGGUGUUGACACUAGCUAACACCACUUAGAUACUGGGUUGUC